This is a non-coding RNA of Oryza sativa Japonica Group (Japanese rice), 766 nucleotides long. NCBI's taxonomy places the organism in Eukaryota, Viridiplantae, Streptophyta, Magnoliopsida, Poales, Poaceae. The record is from RefSeq and is a predicted model, not a curated record.
AAUUUAGGGGGUUAGAUAUCGGGUUUUAAAACUCAUGAUUCUAGAUGGAAUUUCGUCCAAAGUCUAAGGUGAUAUUUGGACUAUUUCCUUGAGAAAUUCUUUUGAAAAAUACAAAAGUAGAAAAAACACAUUAAAAAUUUUCCAUCGUGGCGGAGGCACGCGGCGGGGCCGGGGCGGCUCGGGGAGGAGGGGCACACGCACACGGCGGUGCGGCCUAGAGAGAGGUCGUCGUCAUGCCCGGAUCCAGCCUCCACGCUGCUCCCCGGCCCGCCGCAUCCCGGCAAUCCUCGUCGAGUAGUCGUUCGAUCUUCUCUCCUUCCUUUUUGUCUAGUUCUCUCCUAGAGUGCUACUCCACGCCCGACAGCGGUGAUCGGUGCUCCGGCGCCGCAAGUGCAGACUGUCCCCGAUACAUUCGGUAAUCGGUGGGCGGGUGCCGAUCGAUCGACGAGAGUAUUCGAUCUCUCAUUCAUGGCGGCGGCGACGGGGUACAGCGACGCCCCGACCGGCGACGAUCUGGCCGCGUACGACCAACUGCGGAGAUCUUCGCGGGCGCCGCCGCCCUGCGGCACCAUCAGCUUCUGCAACGACGUCAUCUACAGCCGCAGCCGUACUGACGACUCCACCUACCCACCGCCCUGCGACACCCAUGUAAGACUAGGGGCGGAGCUAGAGAAAAGACGAGGGAUUCCUACCUUUAUUUAUGUAAUACUAACAUCUAUAAUUAUAGAGCGAUAUUAUACUAAAUAGUUGCAUACCAAUAAAUAAA